Molecule: long non-coding RNA, 261 nt
Organism: Anthonomus grandis grandis
Lineage: Eukaryota; Metazoa; Arthropoda; Insecta; Coleoptera; Curculionidae
Exons: 3
Source: RefSeq, a predicted model, not a curated record
AUAGCUAUUUUCGGGUUUAAAGAAAAUCGAUUUUUCGCAUUUUCAAAGUGCUAUAAUUCCCUUAGUUUUUCUCGAAACUCACUAUAACCCGGUGUUUUCGUGUUGUAGGUGAUGGGAACAAGCCGCUGGUAUAGUUAGUUCAAAUUCGAAAAAAAUCAAUUUUUGGUGAAAAAUUCGAUACGGGGGGGUAUACCCUAAAAAUGAAAAAUCUCAAACUUUGGAGAUCCAUAUCUCGGCUUCUAUGGGCCCUAUCGGGAAAAU